This 144-nucleotide long non-coding RNA is filed under the name Cyanistes caeruleus (blue tit). RNAcentral's name for it is "lncRNA (ENSCCEG00000019725.1)". The record is from RNAcentral. Lineage: Eukaryota; Metazoa; Chordata; Aves; Passeriformes; Paridae.
GGAACAUCCAAAUUGCCAUGGUUUCCACAGAAAAUGUGCUCAGACUCCCUGAAAGACUGAUUCUUUGUGUGCUCAAGAAAAUGCUGGCAACAAAAAAAAUCUUGCUUUGAGACAAAACCAUCAGAGGCUGUAUGUAUGCUUAUA